RNAcentral lists this ribosomal RNA (468 nucleotides) under uncultured bacterium. Its description in RNAcentral is "partial 16S ribosomal RNA". It matches the Rfam family "Bacterial small subunit ribosomal RNA", at positions 28 to 507 of the family's 1533-position model. The record is from RNAcentral.
GACGAACGCUGGCGGCGUGCUUAACACAUGCAAGUCGAACGGAAAGGCCCUGCUCUUGCGGGGUGCUCGAGUGGCGAACGGGUGAGUAACACGUGAGUAUCCUGCCCUUGACUUUGGGAUAACUUCAGGAAACUGGGGCUAAUACCGGAUAGGAGCUCCUGCUGCAUGGUGGGGGUUGGAAAGUUUCGGCGGUUGUGGAUGGACUCGCGGCUUAUCAGCUUGUUAGUGGGGUAGUGGCUUACCAAGGCUUAGACGGGUAGGCGGCCUGAGAGGGGGACCGGCCACAAGAGGACUAAGGGACGGACCAGUCGCCAACGGGAGGCAACGGUGGGAAGUAUUGCGCAGUAAGCGGGAGCCAGUUGCGGCGGCGCCGCGUGCGGAAUAACGGCCUUCGAGUUAUAAACAACUUUCGCAUGUAACAAGGCGUGAGUGACGGUAAUGAAUAAGAAAGCACCGGCUAACUACGUG